Molecule: RNA transcript, 2175 nt
Organism: Setaria italica (foxtail millet)
Lineage: Eukaryota; Viridiplantae; Streptophyta; Magnoliopsida; Poales; Poaceae
Exons: 5
Source: RefSeq, a predicted model, not a curated record
GGAUUAAAGGGAAAAGAGCUUAGCUCCCUGGUCCCCCUCCUUCGGGGGAUCAAGAUCCGCCGUACUCCGUCCGGCCGUCCGGCUCCAGGCCGGCGCCACCCGGCAGUGGACUGGCCGGAGCCCCUCAGGGCCCGGCAGUGGACUGGCUACGGAAGAGCUUCUUGAUGACCGCAGGGAAGAAGGAGGAGAUGGGGAAGCUGGUGAUGGAGCGGAGGAUUUGCAUCUGGAUGUCCCCAUUCUCUUCAUCCAUCUCUCCUCCCCAUCUGCCCGCUGCCGGCGCACCUCCGCUUCCCAUCUGCUCCUGGCGCCGGGCUACAUGCGGCUGCACGCGCGUGUGCCGCAUCCUCCACGACGGGGAACCGCCGUGGCAGCGCCUUCCUGUGGAGCCACCGCUCAGCCACUGCCCACCGGAUCACGGGCAAGGCCCUCCUCAUGCUGACAAGCAGGGCACACGAGAGGCUCCGCUCACCCAACCUCCUCCUCGGUUGCCCGCUUGUCCAACGCCAGCCUGCUCCGUGUCGUCCGAGAUAAUUGGCACAAUUGUUGGCAAUAGCAACUCUGAACUCUCUUUGCCAUGCUUGAUGCAGCAGCACCAACGCGCUGCUUCUGUAAGCGUCGAAGGAAGUGAACAAAUUCCUGAACACCACUUGGUGCAGGUGAUUCCACCUUCCAGGGAUGCCUACAGUUGUUUGGGGCAUGUAAAUUAUCCUGCUAAAAUUAUAUGGAGGGUCAAAUAACUGCACUUGAUAAUUGCAUGAUGAUGAUGAACUCCUGAAUGAGUUGGGGAACUGGUGCUUGUGGAAAUGCCUGUGUGCGACGAGCUGGUGAUUCUGAUUUCCAAGGACUGCUGAAGAAUGAAGGGAAGGAGAGGUACGGUGUUCUGUACAAGCAGUGGCAGAAGAAUGCUGCCAAUUUCAGCAUUGACGGGCACUACCCAGUGCGGGAGCUACGGGACCGUGCACGGAGCUGCUGGGAGAGGAUUCCAGCACACGAGGGCAAGUCGGUACUUGUAUCUGAAGGUCAUUGGCUUGGCUGGAAACAAGUUGGGAGAUGUGAUUCCUAGCUCCAUCGCAAACCUUUCGAUGAGUAUGGAGUACUUGAGCAUAAGUAGCAACAUGCUACCAUAUUGUGAAGCGAAGGUAACAUAUUAUGAACAAACGUAUAAUAAUGUGAGAGUAAGUAAUGACCUGUAGUAAUGUACGGGCAUUUCUGCUAGUACUCUUAAAAAAACUAAUCUCCUAAAAAUUACUCUAAAAAAACUAAAACCAAGAUAAAACUUAGUACGUCGAGUAUCCUCCACUUCUUCGUCCCGCGCUGCGUCUAAUUAUUGCCGUCCGCUGACCCUGUGCCCAUCUGCGCUCAACGCUUACACCGUUGAUUCUUUGGAUGCCUCCAAGCCGUCCCUCAGCUCCCACGCAGAUCCGCUGCCAUCCGUGUCCCUCCAAUGGAGCCCAAGAUGCCUCCCCAGCUCAUACGCCGCCGCCGCUGCCUCGCCUCCGCCAUCGAUCCCGCCAUCGCAUCCAAGCACGCGCCGCCAUCCGCCUCCUCCAACCCAUCGUCUUCUCCUCUCGGGUGGCCGCCGGCGCAAGCAGAAGGCUCCGGCGGCGACACUGGUGGCCGCCGACUCCUCGACUGGGCUUCGUCACCGGCGCAGGACGGCCCCUGUGGCCCCGGUCCUCCCUCCUCCUCCCCCCGGGCGCCAGCAGCUGGAGCUGGCGGAUCAGGGGGCCUCUCAGGCGGCACCCCGAUAUUUAAUCAACCCUCCAUUGUGGCGCGCUUCUCCCAUUGCAGCGACGAGUUCUCCUAUUACUCGGGCUCCUCCUCCUCCUCUUCCUACUCCGGCGCGUUGGUGAGGUUGUGUGUCUCCGACUCGGCGCGGCGCGGCCGCCCCGUCGACCCCUCCACGUGCUCUUCGUCGUCGCCUCCCUCCGCCGCAUCAAUCCGAAGAUGUUCGCCGAGGCCACAGGCGCGCUGUUCCAUAGCGGGGCAGAGAAGAAGCGGAAGGGAGUGUGGAUCGAGGUUGACAACUACGAGGACAAGAGCGAGAGGAGCAACACGGUGGCCAGCGAGGGGAGCACCGUCACGGCCGCCGCGUCCGCGGGCUCCACGGCCACAUCGGGGAGAUGCUGCCGGCCUCCACGGGCGAGCGGCGGCAGAGUCAAUAACCACCGCUAG